This is a long non-coding RNA of Mya arenaria, 620 nucleotides long. RefSeq lists it as uncharacterized. The transcript has 3 exons. NCBI's taxonomy places the organism in Eukaryota, Metazoa, Mollusca, Bivalvia, Myida, Myidae. The record is from RefSeq and is a predicted model, not a curated record.
CUUUGAAUAGUGAGAAAAAAAUUUGUGCAGUUUUGUUUAAUAAAAUGGAUUGAUUAUAAGGUAACUGUUGUUGUUUUUUAUCAUAUUAACAUCCAAAAAAGAUCAUGACUUAUCAUUUUAUUUUAUUUUUACACAUAUUAGGCUCUUUGUCUUUGUUUAAAGUUUGACUAAGAGAUAAGCUUUAUGCAUGUACUGUCAAGUAUGUUUCACUUUAUUCCAAAAUAAUUGACAAAUACUCAGUCAAGCAAUGUACUAAGUUUAAAAAUUAUCAUUCAAUUAGUACAAUGAAGUUGAAGAUGUAUAAAGAAAUGUUAUACACAUUUUUUCCAGACAAAACCCCCCCAUAAGGAUGACAAUGUACUUGGACAAGAUUCUAAGACCUUUUUGAAAGAAAUAUGAAUAGGGGACUUCUAUAGCAGAAGAAGUAUAGCCAAACUUGCAGAAAACAACAACCGAAUGACUGCAUCACUAAAGAAAAGAAACAGGAUUUCUCCAAAUGUAGAAAUGCAGACAGCUCUUCACCAUCAACUGUGAUCCUUUGUAAUUUUGUGUACAUAUGAAACUAAAUGACUGCAAAGAAAUGUUUUUUGUUGUUCUUAGGUUGUUGUAUGCAUACUUCA